This 32-nucleotide ribosomal RNA is filed under the name uncultured SAR86 cluster bacterium. RNAcentral's name for it is "partial 23S ribosomal RNA". The record is from RNAcentral. Lineage: Bacteria; Pseudomonadati; Pseudomonadota; Gammaproteobacteria.
AAGGUUAUAUGAUCAAGUAAAAGGAAGAGCAC